This 119-nucleotide non-coding RNA is filed under the name pig gut metagenome. Its description in RNAcentral is "FMN riboswitch (RFN element)". It matches the Rfam family "FMN riboswitch aptamer (RFN element)". Rfam says of the family: The RFN element is a highly conserved domain that is found frequently in the 5'-untranslated regions of prokaryotic mRNAs that encode for flavin mononucleotide (FMN) biosynthesis and transport proteins. This element is a metabolite-dependent riboswitch that directly binds FMN in the absence of proteins. In Bacillus subtilis, the riboswitch most likely controls gene expression by causing premature transcription termination within the 5' untranslated region of the ribDEAHT operon and precluding access to the ribosome-binding site of ypaA mRNA. The record is from RNAcentral.
AUCUUCAGGGCGAGGUGCAAUUCCUCACCGGCAGUUACAGCCUGCGAACUUUGCUUUUUUUGCAAAGCCGAUUCGGUGCAAUUCCGAAGCCGACGGUCAUAGUCCGGACGGAAGAAGAA